This 301-nucleotide ribosomal RNA is filed under the name uncultured bacterium. RNAcentral's name for it is "partial 16S ribosomal RNA". It matches the Rfam family "Bacterial small subunit ribosomal RNA", at positions 509 to 807 of the family's 1533-position model. The record is from RNAcentral.
CAGUAGCCGCGGUAAUACGUAGGUGGCGAGCGUUGUCCGGAUUUAUUGGGCGUAAAGGGAGUGUAGGCGGUCUUUUAAGUCUGAUGUGAAAGCCCACGGCUCAACCGUGGAGGGUCAUUGGAAACUGGGAGACUUGAGUGCAGAAGAGGAGAGCGGAAUUCCAUGUGUAGCGGUGAAAUGCGUAGAUAUAUGGAGGAACACCAGUGGCGAAGGCGGCUCUCUGGUCUGUAACUGACGCUGAGGCUCGAAAGCGUGGGGAGCAAACAGGAUUAGAUACCCGUGUAGUCCCUGUCUCUUAUAC